This 792-nucleotide ribosomal RNA is filed under the name uncultured bacterium. Its description in RNAcentral is "bacterial SSU rRNA". It matches the Rfam family "Bacterial small subunit ribosomal RNA", at positions 51 to 878 of the family's 1533-position model. The record is from RNAcentral.
ACACAUGCAAGUUGAACGGGAUUUGUAUGGUGCUUGCACCAUGUAAUGAGAGUAGCGCACUGGUGAGUAACACGUGGGAACAUACCUUGAAGUGGGGGACAACAGUUGGAAACGACUGCUAAUACCGCAUAAUCCCUGAGGGGGAAAGAUUUAUCGCUUUAAGAUUGGCCCGCGGAAGAUUAGGUAGUUGGUGGGGUAAAGGCCUACCAAGCCGACGAUCUAUAGCUGGUCUGAGAGGACGAACAGCCACAUUGGAACUGAGACACGGUCCAGACUCCUACGGGAGGCAGCAGUGAGGAAUAUUGGGCAAUGGAGGAAACUCUGACCCAGCCAUGCCGCGUGAGUGAAGAAGGUUUUCGAAUUGUAAAGCUCUUUCGGAUGGGACGAUGAUGACGGUACCAUCUAAAGAAGCCCCGGCAAACUUCGUGCCAGCAGCCGCGGUAAUACGAAGGGGGCAAGCGUUGUUCGGAAUUACUGGGCGUAAAGGGUGUGUAGGCGGAUUUGUAAGAUAGUGGUGAAAUACCUGAGCUCAACUUAGGAAUUGCCAUUAUAACUAUAGAUCUGGAGUGACAGAGAGGAUAUUGGAAUACCCAGUGUAGAGGUGAAAUUCGUAGAUAUUGGGUAGAACACCAGUGGCGAAGGCGAGUAUCUGGCUGUCAACUGACGCUGAGGCACGAAAGCAUGGGGAUCAAACAGGAUUAGAUACCCUGGUAGUCCAUGCUGUAAACGAUGAAUGCUAGUUGUCGGCAAAAGCCGGUGACGCAGUUAACGCGAUAAGCAUUCCGCCUGGGG